AUGAAGCUCGUCCACCGCAAUCUCGCCCGAAACGGGCCCGGCUCCGCCAAGCUGCUGCCGGAGGAGGAGGACGACCUGUGGCACGCGUACAAUCUCAUCGCCGUCGGGGACAGCCUCCAGGCCGUCACUGUCCGGAAAGUUCUGAGAGAUUCUGCUUCUGGAGGACGUGAUGCGGAGCGCGUGAAGCUAAAGUUGGAAAUUGUAGUUGAGUCUGUAGAUUAUGACAAGGAGGGGAACGUUUUGCGCGUCCGUGGCAAAAAUAUUACUGAGAAUGAUCACGUGAAGAUUGGCCAGUUUCAUACUUUAGAACUUGAGCUGAAGAGACCUUUUGUUCUACGAAAGGAAUAUUGGGAUUGGUUAGCACUUGAUACCAUCCAACAAGCAUGUGAUCCUACUGCAAGUGCUGAUCUAGCAGUUAUUCUCAUGCAAGAAGGACUUGCUCACUUAUUCCUUAUUGGGAGAAGCAUAACAGCAACAAGGUCACGUGUUGAAACCUCGAUUCCUAGGAAACAUGGACCUGCCAUUGCUGGUUACGAGUCGGCUCUCAAGAAGUUCUUUGAGCAUGUUUUGCAGGCCUUGCUGAAGCACAUUGAUUUCGAAGUGGUCCAGUGUGUUGUAAUUGCAAGCCCAGGUUUUACUAAGGAUCAGUUUCGUGAUUACAUGCAUCUUGAAGCUGCACGGCGAGACUUGAGAGUAAUAAUUGAGAACAAAUCACGCAUUAUUCUUGCACAUGCACCUUCAGGCUACAAGCAUAGUUUGAAGGAAGUUUUGGACACCCCAGGUGUGAUGUCACUGAUAAAAGAUACAAAAGCGGCACAGGAGGUGCAAGCUUUGAAGGAAUUCUUCGCUAUGCUUACUAAUGACUCAGCCCGAGCGUGUUAUGGACCUAAGCACGUUGAGGUCGCACAUGAACGUCUUGCAAUACAAACUCUUCUGAUGACAGAUACUUUGUUUCGGAACACGGACAUCGCUAGCAGGAGAAAGUAUGUGAACUUGGUUGAGUCAGUCAAGAAAUAUGGUGGUACAGUGCACAUAUUUUCUUCGAUGCAUGUCUCCGGCGACCAAUUGGCGCAGUUGACAGGAAUAGCAGCUAUACUUCGUUUCCCUCUGCCAGAUUUGGAGGACAUCGAGAUGUGA
This 1137-nucleotide ribosomal RNA is filed under the name Triticum aestivum (bread wheat). RNAcentral's name for it is "partial small subunit ribosomal RNA". Lineage: Eukaryota; Viridiplantae; Streptophyta; Magnoliopsida; Poales; Poaceae. The record is from RNAcentral.